This 550-nucleotide ribosomal RNA is filed under the name Salmonella enterica. Its description in RNAcentral is "partial 23S ribosomal RNA". It matches the Rfam family "Bacterial large subunit ribosomal RNA", at positions 1918 to 2467 of the family's 2925-position model. RNAcentral also lists the same sequence under 1 other name. The record is from RNAcentral. Lineage: Bacteria; Pseudomonadati; Pseudomonadota; Gammaproteobacteria; Enterobacterales; Enterobacteriaceae.
CCCCGGUAAACGGCGGCCGUAACUAUAACGGUCCUAAGGUAGCGAAAUUCCUUGUCGGGUAAGUUCCGACCUGCACGAAUGGCGUAAUGAUGGCCAGGCUGUCUCCACCCGAGACUCAGUGAAAUUGAACUCGCUGUGAAGAUGCAGUGUACCCGCGGCAAGACGGAAAGACCCCGUGAACCUUUACUAUAGCUUGACACUGAACAUUGAGCCUUGAUGUGUAGGAUAGGUGGGAGGCUUUGAAGUGUGGACGCCAGUCUGCAUGGAGCCGACCUUGAAAUACCACCCUUUAAUGUUUGAUGUUCUAACGUGGACCCGUAAUCCGGGUUGCGGACAGUGUCUGGUGGGUAGUUUGACUGGGGCGGUCUCCUCCUAAAGAGUAACGGAGGAGCACGAAGGUUGGCUAAUCCUGGUCGGACAUCAGGAGGUUAGUGCAAUGGCAUAAGCCAGCUUGACUGCGAGCGUGACGGCGCGAGCAGGUGCGAAAGCAGGUCAUAGUGAUCCGGUGGUUCUGAAUGGAAGGGCCAUCGCUCAACGGAUAAAAGGUACU